AUGCCAGUGGUAAAGUCACAUCAGAGAAUAGAUUCCCCAUCCCCACUCCCCUUAAUUGUUUAUUUUUAUUUUAUCCAUAUCUUUACCUUUUUUGUUUUUUCAAUGCUGAAAUUGUACAAUUGCACUAACAAUGAUAAUAUAAUAAAUAUAAUAAUAAAAAUCAAGGGGGCAUACUGUACCCUAAUAGCACCAGAUAUUCUCGGAUCUUGGAAGCUAAGCUGGGUCAUCCUUGUUAGUAUUUGGAUGAGAGACACCAAAGAAUUACAGGUGCUGUGGGCUAUAUUUCAGAAGAAACCCCAGCUCUGAGUAUUCCUUGUCUAAGAAAAUAGCAUAAACAUUUAUGGGAUCACUGUAAGUCAGCAAGCAACUUGAAGUUGUGCAUAACACACAAUAUAGCAGGAUUCUGAGCUAAGAUUGGAAUGCUCAUAUUCAGCAUUAUGGUGGCUCCAAGUCUGGACAAAAGCAAAUAAAAUAUGCAUGGCUUAAAUCUUCAAUUUCUCCUCCUUUCUGUGUAACAUCGGAGAAUGCUCAGUCUCCAGAAUCUACUGCCAUCCUCAUUAACUCCGAUCUUCUAAGUUACUUUAGCAGCCCAUUGACUUUAAUAAGGCUCUGCCCGAUAUAAUUCAUGUUAAUUCCUCAUUAGCAUGUGCAUCAUUAUCAUAUUCAGUUAGGUCAAGGUGAGAGAAAUGUUACAAGAUGCGCACUAAAAUUCAUUGGUGCUAACCAAUUUUAAAGCCAUAAACUAAAUGACCAUUUUGAUAGCAUUUUGCACUCCAUGAAACACCUUCUUUCUGAACAUCUAAUCAUACAAUGCUAUUGUUAAUUGCAAUAUGCCUCAUCUCUGAUGGGUACAAGCAGAGCCGGUCCAACAAUGAGGCGAAUUAAGCGGUUGCUUGGGGUGCAAAACAUACGGGGGCGCAGUUGAGACUGCUUUUCCUGUUGAUUUCUUGUAAAACAUGAUGUUUUGGUGCUUAAUUUGUAAAAUCUUAAUGUAAUUUGAUGUUUAAUAGGCUUUUCCUUAAUCCCUCCUUAUUAUCCAACAUUUUUGCUUAUCCAAUGCUUUUUUUUUUUUAGUGAUUGGUUUGGGGGGGGGGCCAAAAUUCUGUUCGUCUACACUUGAAAAAUACCUAGGGCCGGCUCUGGGUACAAGCCUCCUCAUCGUUCUUGGUGCCAAUUUUGCAAUUUUUCCUUCAGUGGUGGGAAAACUAAGGGAGGGUCUCAUCCCCACCAGCCCCUCCCAUCAGGCCUGGUUCUACAUUUGGACCAUGAGAAAACCUAAAACAAGUCUGGGUCUUCUUGCAUUUGGAUUUUCCUAAUAAUUCCAUACUGAGCCGUACCCAUAUUAGUCUGCUGUAGUGAAGCAACAAAAUCCUGAAAGGGUAACACAUUUGUUAUAGCAUAAGCUUUUCUGGACUGUAGUUUACAUCAUCUGGAGCACAAUGCAGUCAUUCUGAGUCACAUACAAACACACAUACCAUAUAUACUCAAGUAUAAGCUGAGUUUUUCAGCCCUUUUUUAGUAUAAGCCCCUCAAUCUAUACUCGAGUGAGAGUCCUGGCUGGCUUAUACUCACGUAUAUAGGUAAUUAGAGUUGGACAGUCUUAUCUUAUUAAGUCUUAUUAUCUUAAAUUACAGUUUUAUGUAAAUAUUCAAAACCAUUUAACCUACUGAUGCCUCAAUUAAUGUAAUUUCAUCUAUUUUUAUUUUUGAAAUUUACUAGUAGCUGCUGCAUUUCCCGCCCUCAUCUUAUACUUGAGUCAAUAGGUUUUCCCAGUUUUUUUGUGGUAAAAUUAAGGAUUGGCUUAUACUCGAGUAUAUAUCGAACCAAGAGGAAUUAUCUGACCUCACAAUUUACAUUUCCCCCACUCCCAUACAUCUGCAACUCAGUAUAUUUCAAACAUCUAUCAGUCUUCAAGGCACUUUCUAAUUAUUCUUUCCUAUUAAAAUGGCUGCCCCCUAAGAGCAAUGUACCUGAUCUCAAAAGGAAGGGGGCAUUUAAAAAGGUUAAAUAUUGAAAGCUCAGGAGUAAACAAUUCAAAUUAGAAGGAAAACUGAGAGGUGUCUAAAGAAACCAGGGCAGACAUAUAAAGAAUUUUAAAAUGAGAUCAGAUUUAAAAGAGAGGUAUUAAAAAUGGCAGAAGGGGAAGAGGAAUACAGAUAAAUACCCAGCACUUUGGGCAGUGGGAGUCAGAAAAGCUAAAUCUCAUAAUGAGCUCGGGCUCAGUCAGGAGAAGUUAAGAACAAAAAGAAGAUCAAGGAAAUUAUACACCCACUACUUAGAGAGGAUUUUAAAAUGCUCACAGGACAGAAAAAGAAGACCAAACUACUCAAUACCUUCCUUGUCUCAGUCUUCUACAAAAAAGAAAAUAGUGUUUUAACUCAGAAAAAUAGAACAAAUGAUACAGUAAAAGACCUGAAACCCAGAAUACUUAAAGAAGUAGUAAAAGAAAUACCAGCUACCUAUCUACUCCAAAUGAAUUUACAGUAAGUCUCUAGGGCUGGAUGAACUGCAUCCAAUGAUACCGAAACGACUUGCAGAUAUAGUCUCAGAGUCACUAUCAAUAACCUUUGAAGAUUUUUGGAGAGCAAGGAGAGGUUCCCAGCAGAUUGGAAAAGGGCAAAGUUUGUUGCAUCUUCAAAAAAGACAAAAAUAAGGACACAAACAAAUUACCAACCAGUAAGCUGGACAUCAAUACUAUUUGUAUGCUGUGUGUGCACACAGGCAAUCUAUGCACACUCAGAAAGAAAUACUAUGAUUACAUUCAAAGUCAGGUUUAUCCAAAAAAAAGGUCAUGCUGGAAUAAUCUGUUUCUCUUUCUCUCUCCGUUUUUCUUUCUUUCUUUUUGAUAGAUAUGUGUUAACAUUCUGGAAAGUGCUGGGGGUAUAGUUUAUCUUGAUUCAGUAGGCUUUUGACAAGGCAAGCUGAUGUACUAUAGGCUGUGCUAUUGUUAGGUUACUUUCUAAUUGAUUGAUCAAAUAAACCCAGAGAAUACAUACUAGUGAUUGCGCUUCAACCUGGAGAAAAAUAACUAGUGAAGUUCUGUCCUGGGCCAAGUAUUGUUUAACAUUUUUAUAAAUGACUGAGACAAUGGAAUAUAUGUCUGCUUAGCAUCAGAAAGUUCCAGUCAGGAUAGGGGAGAGAUCUGUCCCUCCGUAGCAGCAGCUAUUCAUUAAUUGAUCCAGUAGUUCUACUCUAGUUGAAAUAAACCAAUAGGACUCAGACCAAGUGCAACAGUCCUCUCUUGCCAUUUUCCAGCAACUGAUAUUUAGAAAUUGCUUCUGAUUCUGGUGGUAGCAUGUAAUGUAAUGACUACUAGUUAUUCAUAACUUUAUCCUUUAACAUGAACAAAGUGGUAAAGUCAACUUCUGUGUCUUGCUUGUCCAGUUCAUUCUACUCCAUUUCUGCAUCACUAUGCAA
Molecule: long non-coding RNA, 3417 nt
Organism: Anolis carolinensis (green anole)
Lineage: Eukaryota; Metazoa; Chordata; Lepidosauria; Squamata; Anolidae
Source: Ensembl